RNAcentral lists this ribosomal RNA (497 nucleotides) under uncultured bacterium. RNAcentral describes it as "partial 16S ribosomal RNA". It matches the Rfam family "Bacterial small subunit ribosomal RNA", at positions 28 to 507 of the family's 1533-position model. The record is from RNAcentral.
GAUGAACGCUGGCGGCGUGCCUAAUACAUGCAAGUCGAGCGAACAGACGAGGAGCUUGCUCCUCUGACGUUAGCGGCGGACGGGUGAGUAACACGUGGAUAACCUACCUAUAAGACUGGGAUAACUUCGGGAAACCGGAGCUAAUACCGGAUAAUAUAUUGAACCGCAUGGUUCAAUAGUGAAAGACGGUUUUGCUGUCACUUAUAGAUGGAUCCGCGCCGCAUUAGCUAGUUGGUAAGGUAACGGCUUACCAAGGCAACGAUGCGUAGCCGACCUGAGAGGGGGAUCGGCCAAACUGGAAAUGAGACAAGGGCCAGACUCCCAAGGGAGGCAGCAGUAGGGAAACUUCCGGAAUGGGCGAAAGCCUGAAGGAGCAAAGCCGCGUGAGUGAUGAAGGUCUUCGGAUCGGAAAACUCUGUUAUUAGGGAAGAACAAAUGUGUAAGUAACUAUGCACGUCUUGACGGUACCUAAUCAGAAAGCCACGGCUAACUACGUG